UACGGAGGGUGCAAGCAUUGAUCGGAAUUACUGGGCGUAAAGGGCGUCUAGGCGGCGUCUUAAGUUGGGCGUGAAAUCUUCCGGCUCAACCGGAAGGGUGCGUCCAAUACUGGGACGAUUGAGGGCAGCAGAGGGAGGUGGAAUUCCCGGUGUAGCGGUGGAAUGCGUAGAUAUCGGGAGGGAUACCAGUGGCGAAGGCGGCCUCCUGGGCUGUACCUGACGCUGAAGCGCGAAAGCGUGGGGAGCAAACGGG
Molecule: unclassified non-coding RNA, 253 nt
Filed under: uncultured Anaerolineae bacterium
Lineage: Bacteria; Bacillati; Chloroflexota; Anaerolineae
Description: contains 16S-23S intergenic spacer region
Rfam family: Bacterial small subunit ribosomal RNA
Source: RNAcentral